This 497-nucleotide ribosomal RNA is filed under the name uncultured bacterium. Its description in RNAcentral is "partial 16S ribosomal RNA". It matches the Rfam family "Bacterial small subunit ribosomal RNA", at positions 28 to 507 of the family's 1533-position model. The record is from RNAcentral.
GAUGAACGCUGGCGGCGUGCCUAAUACAUGCAAGUCGAGCGAACGAACGAGAAGCUUGCUUCUCUGAUGUUAGCGACGGACGGGUGAGUACCACGUGGCUAACCUACCUAUAAGACUGGGGUAACUUCAGGAAACCGGAGCUAAUACCGGUUAAUAUUUUGAACCGCAUGGUUCAAAAGUGAAAGACGGUCUUGCUGUCACUUGUACAUGUAUCCGCGCUGCAUUAGCUAGUUGGUAAGGUAACGGCUUACCAAGGCAACGAUGCAUAGCCGACCUGAGAGGGUGAUCAGCCACACUGGAACUGAGACACGGUCCAGACUCCUACGGGAGGCAGCAGUAGGGAAUCUUGCGCAAUGGGCGAAAGCCUGACGGAGCCACGCCGCGUGAGUGAUGAAGGUCUUCGGAUCGUAAAACUCUGUUAGUAGGGAAGAACAUAUGUGUAAGUAACUCUUCACAUCUUGACGGUACCUAAUCAGAAAGCCACGGCUAACUACGUG